Zea mays is the source of this 212-nucleotide long non-coding RNA. RefSeq lists it as uncharacterized. The record is from RefSeq and is a predicted model, not a curated record. The transcript is spliced from 2 exons. Lineage: Eukaryota; Viridiplantae; Streptophyta; Magnoliopsida; Poales; Poaceae.
AGAGAUUAACGAAUUAAAAGCCCAACGAAAGCAGCUAUCCACCACUAUGGGCUCAAAGGCAGAAAUCAAUUAGGCAUUUGACCAAAAAGAUCACAUUCAUGAAAGGCAUAAGGUGUUAAAGAAGGAUUCUGAUGUUUUAUUGACCAACCUGAAAUUCCUAGAGGAAAACACAAGAAAGAUUCAAAAGUCUUUCGAAGAUGAAAAAACAGCUC